Molecule: RNase P RNA, 417 nt
Filed under: Butyrivibrio sp.
Lineage: Bacteria; Bacillati; Bacillota; Clostridia; Lachnospirales; Lachnospiraceae
Description: RNase P RNA component class A
Rfam family: Bacterial RNase P class A
About the family: Ribonuclease P (RNase P) is a ubiquitous endoribonuclease, found in archaea, bacteria and eukarya as well as chloroplasts and mitochondria. Its best characterised activity is the generation of mature 5'-ends of tRNAs by cleaving the 5'-leader elements of precursor-tRNAs.
Source: RNAcentral
AGAGCAGGAUGGAUGAUCGCUGCCAUGCAAACGAAAGGGCAUGGGAGAGGAAAGUCCGGGCUUCGCAGGGCGGGAUGCCAGAUAACGUCUGGUGGAGGUGACUCCCAGGAUAGUGCAACAGAGAUAUACCGCGUUAGCAAUGAGACGGGCGGAUAUGCCGCGUAACGAGGAAUGCUUGCAUUCCAAGUGACCGACUCAUGAGUUGUUAGCGUAAGGGUGGAAAGGCAGUGUAAGAGACUACCGUGCUGGUGGUAACAUCAGUAGCCAUGUAAACCCCAUCCGAAGCAAGACCGAAUAGAGAGCAAUGAACCGGCCCGGUUCGCUUUCAGGUGGGUCGCUUGAAACUGUCGGUGACGGCAGUUCUAGAUAGAUGAUCAUCUUAGAAGACAUAACCCGGCUUAUAGUCCUGCUCAUUUU